Molecule: long non-coding RNA, 879 nt
Filed under: Vigna radiata
Lineage: Eukaryota; Viridiplantae; Streptophyta; Magnoliopsida; Fabales; Fabaceae
Description: long non-coding RNA (VRAD_LNC011817)
Source: RNAcentral
CAUAGUUUCACUAGUUUAUUUAGUUCAAUACCAACCUCUUUCCUACUAGCAUCAAUGUACUUCAAUACUCUGCAGUCAGCAAAUAAUUUGAUAGACAUUAAGGCCGAGAAAAAAAGACAACAAACUGAAGAAACAAUAAGUACAAGGAACUUACAUUGGUAAGAACUGCACAUAAUUCCUUUCUAGUUUUCAGCAUCCCUUACAAGAAAAAAGAAAUAAAAACGAGAAAAGAAAUAAAAAAGAAACAAGCUUUGAAUGUUAAUGGAGAGAAUUCGUCCCUGCAAAGCGAGUGGGAUGAAAAAGAAAAGCAAAAAUGAAUGAGAAAACAAAAAGAAAGAGAGUGUAACCCUAAAAAAAACCAAUGACACACUUUGUACCCUAAGGUUAACCUCGCGCCACCCUCAGAUUCUCUCUCCCUCACGUCCCUAGUGUUUGCAUUUUCGAAGCAGAAGAAGUAAAACAAAGAGAAAAGAAGAUGAGAAAGGGUGAACUCUCGGCUGGUGGUAGAGAACAAGAAUGGAAUAAGAGUUUCUCACUUCUCGUGACUCCUUUUUGGGUUUCUCGGCCUAACCUAACAGUGACCAAAAAAAAUAAAAAUAAAAGAAAGCAAAGAAAGAUUGAUGAAAACUUGGUUGUUUGUUGUUAAUUGUUGUUAUUUGUUGCAAUUUUUCAUAUAUGAAAGAAGAAAAACAAGAAAGAAAGAACAAUGGAAAAGCCUCUUUGCAGUUAGAGAUUAGAGAGAGAAUGCAAAGAGGUGUGAGAAUAACCGGGGGUUUUUUAACCCCGUAGGCAAAUUUGCCUAUAAUAUUACGAAAAUAGGCAAAAAGUGAAGUCGUGCCACCCCUGCACGAUUUUAAAUAAAGAAGUCGUGCCACCCCU